RNAcentral lists this long non-coding RNA (1308 nucleotides) under Homo sapiens (human). RNAcentral describes it as "HSALNT0395374". Lineage: Eukaryota; Metazoa; Chordata; Mammalia; Primates; Hominidae. The record is from RNAcentral.
GCAGCUCCUCGUCCGACUUGAGUGGUCCUGUCUGGUGUGAACCGUCAGCACAGAUGGCCUCCUGGAGCUUCCCCGAGUCGUUCGCUGGGGGAAGCGGGCGGUGAGCGGCCAGCCCGGGCGCUCCGCAGGCCGCGAGCUCCCGGCAGGGCUGGUGGCGGGGGUCCGCCUGGGGGAGGAAUCCCCGCCUGCUCCAUCGGACCCGGCCUGGCGCGGCUCGCGGCGCUCGGCGGGCUCCCUUCCAUUCUAGAAUCUUCCCGCUUGCUUCCCAGCCCGCGUUCUUCCGCCUGCCUUUAAUUGUAAUUUACAGGAUUAAGGAGUUUGGGGAAGUCGCAGAGCUGCAGCGGAAAGGCAGGGGUCUGAGACUACUUUUGAGAAGAGAAACAACGCAAAACGAUCGCUGGAGGGCCAGAGCCCUGGUCGAAGGUGCCCUAGCUUUUAUGACCUGGUUAAUUGUGUCUCCUUUUUAUUUUUAUUUUUUUCCUUACCACUACUACUACUACUACUUUUAUUUUUUUUUAACCGAUACACUUUGGAGAGAAGAAGCAGACACAGGUUCCCACGGCGUCUGACGCCUGCGGAGCAAGUCCAGAGCCAGCUGGACUCGCAGCCUCUGGCCCGGCGGCACCAACUCCUCACUGGGUCAUUUUGAGCGCGCUGUGCCCACCUUUUCUGUUGCGUGUGGACGUGGGGAGGAUCUUCUAAGUCCCUCCAACGAAGGCAAGUGUGAGACUCUGGCCCUUUAUUUGUAAGAAGCAAGCCUUCAGAUUGCAGAAGUGUCGCGCGGGUCGCCGUGCGUUGCGCGAGUGGGAAGAUGGAGGAGGCCGGCACGCUGCUUUCGUGGACGCAAGUGAACCGGGCGUGAAGGCAGGGUGCGAGCUCUGCCCUUGGCCCAGCCCUGCGUGGGCGCCGUCCCAGAUUCCGGGCGGUGCGGGGUGCAGAGAUCUGGAGAGACUUGCGGGCUCCCCAGCGCAGGCUGCUCUGGGAUUUCGUUGGAAGAUCCGGCAGAGCCUUGGAGGAGAGGGCCCGGGAGGCUGUGUGUGCAGCGGAAACUUGUACGAAUGCCCCCACAGCGGAAAUGGUGCGCACGAGUAAUUUCUGCGGUGCACCCUUUUAAAAAUUGACAAGUGAACAAGAUCAAUUUUUUAAGAAAGCAAAGGUAGAAAACAAAAGGCGUGCGACUUCUUGACUGGCUUGUUCCCGCCUUUCUUCCUUCUCUAUACUCAGAUCAGAAACUUUUCUUUAAUUGCUCUUAUUCAGUGCGACAACUUUUAAUAAAAGCAUUUGCAUUUUAAGCCUGAGUUGCAACCA